Molecule: non-coding RNA, 148 nt
Filed under: Nomascus leucogenys (northern white-cheeked gibbon)
Lineage: Eukaryota; Metazoa; Chordata; Mammalia; Primates; Hylobatidae
Source: Rfam by way of RNAcentral
GCUGGGUGUGGUGGCAUGCAUCUGUAGUCCCAGCUACUCUAGAGGCUGAGGCAGGAGGAUCACUUGAGCCCAGGAGUUUGAGGCUGCAGUGAGCCAUGAAGGUACCACUGCAUUCCAGCCUGGGCAACAGAGUGAGACCCUAUCUCUU